Molecule: ribosomal RNA, 460 nt
Filed under: uncultured bacterium
Lineage: Bacteria
Description: bacterial SSU rRNA
Rfam family: Bacterial small subunit ribosomal RNA
Source: RNAcentral
GGCCCGCACAAGCGGAGGAACAUGUGGUUUAAUUCGAUGCUACGCGAGGAACCUUACCCGGGCUUGAAAGUUAGCGACGGAGGAUGAAAGUCCUCUUCCCUUCGGGGCGCGAAACUAGGUGCUGCAUGGUUGUCGUCAGCUCGUGCCGUGAGGUGUCGGCUUAAGUGCCUUAACGAGCGCAACCCUUUUCUCCAGUUGCCAGCGCGUCGUGGCGGGGACUCUGGAGACACUGCCAUCGCAAGAUGCGAGGAAGGAUGGGAUGACGUCAAAUCAGCACGGCCCUUACGUCCGGGGCGACACACGUGUUACAAUGGGCAGGACAGCAAGGAACGAAGCGGCGACGCUGAGGGAAUCUCGAAACCUGCUCCCAGUUCGGAUCGGAGUCUGCAACCCGACUCCGUGAAGCUGGAUUCGCUAGUAAUCGCGCAUCAGCCAUGGCGCGGUGAAUACGUUCCCGGGC